RNAcentral lists this ribosomal RNA (253 nucleotides) under uncultured bacterium. RNAcentral describes it as "partial 16S ribosomal RNA". It matches the Rfam family "Bacterial small subunit ribosomal RNA", at positions 524 to 776 of the family's 1533-position model. The record is from RNAcentral.
UACGUAGGGUGCGAGCGUUAAUCGGAAUUACUGGGCGUAAAGCGUGCGCAGGCGGCUUUGCAAGACAGAUGUGAAAUCCCCGGGCUCAACCUGGGAACUGCAUUUGUGACUGCAAGGCUAGAGUACGGCAGAGGGGGAUGGAAUUCCGCGUGUAGCAGUGAAAUGCGUAGAUAUGCGGAGGAACAACAAUGGCGAAGGCAAACCCCUGGGCCUGUACUGACGCUCAUGCACGAAAGCGUGGGGAGCAAACAGG